This 253-nucleotide ribosomal RNA is filed under the name uncultured bacterium. RNAcentral's name for it is "partial 16S ribosomal RNA". It matches the Rfam family "Bacterial small subunit ribosomal RNA", at positions 524 to 776 of the family's 1533-position model. The record is from RNAcentral.
UACGUGGGGGGCAAGCGUUGUCCGGAAUCAUUGGGCGUAAAGCGCGCGUAGGCGGCCCUGUAAGUCCGCUGUAAAAGUCAAAGGCUCAACCUUUGAAAGCCGGUGGAUACUGCAGGGCUAGAGUCCGGAAGAGGCGAGUGGAAUUCCUGGUGUAGCGGUGGAAUGCGCAGAUAUCAGGAGGAACACCAAUAGCGAAGGCAGCUCGCUGGGACGGUACUGACGCUAAGGCGCGAAAGCGUGGGGAGCGAACAGG